Molecule: ribosomal RNA, 69 nt
Filed under: uncultured eukaryote
Lineage: Eukaryota
Description: partial small subunit ribosomal RNA
Source: RNAcentral
CCAAGGUGAAGCCUCUGACUGGGACUAAGUCGUAACAAGGUAUUCGUAGGUGAACCUGCAGGAGGAUCA